GACGAACGCUGGCGGCGUGCUUAACACAUGCCAGUCGAACGGAAAGGCCCUUCGGGGUACUCGAGUGGCGAACGGGUGAGUAACACGUGGGUGAUCUGCCCUGCACUUUGGGAUAAGCCUGGGAAACUGGGUCUAAUACCGAAUAGGACCACGCGCUUCAUGGUGUGUGGUGGAAAGCUUUUGCGGUGUGGGAUGGGCCCGCGGCCUAUCAGCUUGUUGGUGGGGUAAUGGCCUACCAAGGCGACGACGGGUAGCCGGCCUGGGAGGGUGACCGGCCACACUGGGACUGAGAUACGGCCCAGACUCCUACGGGAGGCAGCAGUGGGGAAUAUUGCACAAUGGGCGCAAGCCUGAUGCAGCGACGCCGCGUGAGGGAUGACGGCCUUCGGGUUGUAAACCUCUUUCAAUAGGGACGAAGCGCAAGUGACGGUACCUAUAGAAGAAGCACCGGCCAACUACGUG
This 462-nucleotide ribosomal RNA is filed under the name uncultured bacterium. RNAcentral describes it as "partial 16S ribosomal RNA". It matches the Rfam family "Bacterial small subunit ribosomal RNA", at positions 28 to 507 of the family's 1533-position model. The record is from RNAcentral.